CGAACUGGCGAAGAAGUACAAACUCAAGACGGCGUGGGGCACCGACGUGCUGUUCUCCCGCGCGCUGGCGCAGCAACAGGGCGCCAUUCUGGCCUCGCUUGUGCGCUGGUACACGCCGGCCGAAGCGUUGAUCAUGGCGACGUCAACAAAUGCCGAACUGCUGGCGCUGUCCGGAAAGCGCAAUCCCUAUCCGGGCAAGCUCGGCGUUGUGGAGCAAGGCGCGUUUGCCGACCUGCUGCUGGUCGACGGCAAUCCGCUGG
Molecule: unclassified non-coding RNA, 260 nt
Filed under: Hevea brasiliensis (rubber tree)
Lineage: Eukaryota; Viridiplantae; Streptophyta; Magnoliopsida; Malpighiales; Euphorbiaceae
Source: RNAcentral